RNAcentral lists this long non-coding RNA (312 nucleotides) under Cricetulus griseus (Chinese hamster). RNAcentral's name for it is "lncRNA (ENSCGRG00000024272.1)". Lineage: Eukaryota; Metazoa; Chordata; Mammalia; Rodentia; Cricetidae. The record is from RNAcentral.
GCCCCAUUCUCCUGGGGUGGGUCAGAUGAAGGUGACCUGCUGUGGAUACUGCUGGAGACACCAAGACAGGGAAAUCCUGGAUCACCUGUCAUGUUGGCUCCAAAGGAACUGCUGUUGUAAGUGGCUCAUCAAGAGUUGAAGUUCAUGUAGCCUUGUUGGGAAUAUGGAAAAGGAAGAAAGCCACAGGACUGCCCGUUCAGUCUGGGAAGAUCUGGAUGAUUCUGCACAUGCAAAAAUGACUUGAAAUUUAUGUAUAGACACUUUGGAGGCUGUCCUGGAACUAGCUCUUGUAGACCAGGCUGGUCUCGGAAC